CGCCCUCAUCGGCCUCCCCCAAGUGCUAAGAUUACAGGCGUGAGCCACCACGAUUGGCCCUUUUACUUCUAACCUAUCUGUGUUUUUAUGUUUACAGUGGAUUUUUUACAGUCAGGCUGGCUUUUUCUUUUUGACCAGGGUGACUAUAUCUUUUAAUUAGAGUGUUUAGGCCACUUAUGUUUAAUGUCAUUAUUAACUGUCUUCACAGUGAGGGCAAAAGAGGUGGGGGGAGAAGUGAGAGGGAAAGGCUUGUCCUUCCCAUCUGUUUUGAGCCAAGAGCCUCUGGGUUUAAGUUGGGCCUGUUCUUUCUAGAGAUUUCUUGGCUAGCAGGUUCCAGAGUCCACGACCUUCUGGGUGUGGACUCAGCUGAGGUGGUUGUUCCACCCUCCCCGUCCCUCACGCUGCGUCCUAGCAUUUAGGGCCUUGGUUUUUCCCUUCUGAUCCCUUCCUGGGCUAAAGAAGUGCACUGACUUACUCGUUAUCCCAUGUGAUGAUGGGGUCCGUGUCAGCUCACACGGGCUUUGCUCUUGUUGGGCACAUCAUGUCCAUGGGGGCAUUGCGGUGGAAUGGGAGUGGGAGGCAGCCGUGGGAAAGUACCAGAACACCAGAGAAUUUCUAACCCCCACCUCACCCUAAAGUGUACUGGCCGGGCCUGGUUUGACACAUCCUGUAGAAGGGCUUGGCCGUCCACCUGGGACGGUGGGCGUCUGCUUCUGUGUCGCCGCCAUCCAGGUGGAAGGUCUUCUCCCAGGUGAACAUCUGAAUGCCCUGUUGGUGGCCUUGUCACCGGGCAGGCCUCGCGGUUCCACCACUAGGUUCGCAGAUCUGUGUCGAGCCCCGGCAUCAGUGGGAACAGGCUCCUUCAUGCCCGGGAGACACAGGUGGGUUCUUUCAGAGUCUGCCUUGUGGGCAGGGGGAAGAGGAUAAAAGCGUCGGUCUUAAAGACCGAGGUUCUGAGAAUGGGAGCAGAACUAGCUCUUCCACCUGUGACAAAUGCUAGGAACAUCUGUCCCGUCUCUGAAAGCAGGCCACUCUGUACUAAUCUGUGUCUUCACCACUGUAAAUCCGCAUUGAGCCUCUUAGUGCCACCCACUAGCUGGCGUCCGCCGCAGCGGUGCAGGUCUUCCCGGCGGCCCUUACACAAGAUCCGCGUUUGCGUCUAACGCCUUACCGCACGUCCCCCGACCUGGGGUGUCCUCUCUCCAUCCCGUCCUCACUGUGCCCCACAACUCAGCCCACACCCUGCCCUCCGGGAGCCUCCCCCGACUUCAUGGGCAGAGUCGGAGCGUCACGCUUGGUGCUUCUGUCGGCCCUUACACGCUUCCACGGCAGGAACUAGCCCAGUGCCACCGUUGCUUGUGUUCCUGUGUCCGGCACAUGAAGGGCCGAGGUGGCAUCUGGAGUCCUCCCACCCCCGGUGCCGAGCACAGGCUGUACUUCCGCCCGGAGGGAGCGAGCGCUCACGGAGACGCUGUCCACGCUGUUCGCUGCCCUUGUGUACCCCCCCCACCGCCGUGUAUUUAUAGCCCCGCUUCCCUAUAGGAGGGGUGCUAGGGCUGUGCUGGGUGCAGGCAGUGAGAUUCGAGCUCUGAAGAGGCUGGGAGAGUGGGUGGGAACACGCACAUGCACGCACGUAAGCAUGUGCACACACACAAGCACCACCUGUAUACACUCACAGGAAAGGGCACAGACAACAGUCUGGAGGUAGUGCAGGAAAUAAAGCUACGGGAGCAGCAGGGGAGGGACGUUAGUAGACACAGCGGACGGUGGGAGCAGACAGAGGAAGAGGAUUUCUGGCGGAGUGUUCCGGACUUGCAGAGGUACGCAGGGUGUUGGUGAAAAUCCUGACCUACGGAGCACUGAGGGUGUGCGGAGGACAGACCCCAGCAUGUGUGUGUGUGCAGGAACUCACGCCAGCUUAGGGACCGCGGCUGCUGUCAUCAUCGUCAUCCCGUUUGAUGGAUGGCACAGCUGGUCACUCCCUGGCCCCGAAUCCCAGCUGGCAGAUGCUAUGACAGCGACAGGAACCCGGGCUCUCGUCCAGGAAACUGUUUUGUUCCUGUUUGUCUAGCUCACCAAGGGACACAGUG
Molecule: long non-coding RNA, 2090 nt
Organism: Lemur catta (Ring-tailed lemur)
Lineage: Eukaryota; Metazoa; Chordata; Mammalia; Primates; Lemuridae
Exons: 2
Source: RefSeq, a predicted model, not a curated record